Molecule: ribosomal RNA, 492 nt
Filed under: uncultured bacterium
Lineage: Bacteria
Description: partial 16S ribosomal RNA
Rfam family: Bacterial small subunit ribosomal RNA
Source: RNAcentral
AGUGAACGCUGGCGGUAGGCCUAACACAUGCAAGUCGAACGGCAGCACAGUAAGAGCUUGCUCUUACGGGUGGCGAGUGGCGGACGGGUGAGGAAUACAUCGGAAUCUACUUUUUCGUGGGGGAUAACGUAGGGAAACUUACGCUAAUACCGCAUACGACCUACGGGUGAAAGCAGGGGAUCUUCGGACCUUGCGCGAUUGAAUGAGCCGAUGUCGGAUUAGCUAGUUGGCGGGGUAAAGGCCAACCAAGGCGACGAUCCGUAGCUGGUCUGAGAGGAUGAUCAGCCACACUGGAACUGAGACACGGUCCAGACUCCUACGGGAGGCAGCAGUGGGGAAUAUUGGACAAAGGGCGCAAGCCUGAUCCAGCCAUACCGCGUGGGUGAAGAAGGCCUUCGGGUUGUAAAGCCCUUUUGUUGGGAAAGAAAAGCAGCAGGUUAAUACCCCGCUGUUCUGACGGUACCCAAAGAAUAAGCACCGGCUAACUUCGUG